RNAcentral lists this non-coding RNA (76 nucleotides) under Amphibacillus xylanus. RNAcentral's name for it is "Glycine sequence". It matches the Rfam family "Glycine riboswitch aptamer". From Rfam's summary of the family: This family represents the bacterial glycine riboswitch. RNAcentral also lists the same sequence under 1 other name. Lineage: Bacteria; Bacillati; Bacillota; Bacilli; Caryophanales; Bacillaceae. The record is from RNAcentral.
GGAGCAGCUUCUGGAGAGCUCGCUUAGGCGACACCGAAGGAUUCACAAUCUCAGGUAGAAGGACAGAAGACAACAA